CAACCAUGAUGAGGACACUCUAAGAGAAGUUCCUUAAAACGUUCCAUACACCUAGAAAAUGAUUCACUGGGUUUUUGACGAAACUAGAGAAUGUCGUUCCUAAGUUU
Molecule: small nucleolar RNA, 107 nt
Filed under: Cephalotus follicularis
Lineage: Eukaryota; Viridiplantae; Streptophyta; Magnoliopsida; Oxalidales; Cephalotaceae
Description: Plant small nucleolar RNA R71
Rfam family: Plant small nucleolar RNA R71
About the family: R71 is a member of the C/D box family of snoRNAs containing the C (UGAUGA) and D (CUGA) box motifs.
Source: Rfam by way of RNAcentral